CCGGGGCAGGGCGGCCGGAGCGGAGGCGCCGUAGGGAGCUGGCUGUUAGGUCGAAUGCACAGCCUUGGAGUCAGACACAGAAAAUUCACUGCUGUCGCAUCAUCCCUCGGCUUGGAGCCCGGCUCAGGCUUACGGCACGUCUGGGCAUCGUCACCUCAGGCUGAAUUAGACUUGUCUGAGCAUUCACCCUCCUGUCACAGAAGAAGCAAAGGAUGCAACAAGGCUCAGAGUGAGCAGCUCCAGAUGUCAACUGAGCAAACUCAGGAUCAGCUGCAGUUAUUCCAGAGUACGUGUCCACGUGCAGAAUUUUCCGGAACAGGACAGGAGUGCCUAAUAAGUCACAGCAAACCAGCACAGUAGUUUGGAGUGGCAAGUGAAAAAUACCAUGUCCACUCAAAAGUGGAUUUCACAGGACUGAGGACUGGGAGAGGCAGUGUGCAGAAAUUGCCCCAGCAGCAGCAGCAGCAACAGCAAGCAAUGAGCUCAAGCAGRAUGGAGUGCCCCGGCCAAGCCAUAGCCCUGCUGGCAGGAGCUGUGGAGUGAAAGGCGCAGGGAACAGCGUGGCCGUGAAGGUGCCGUUCUCCUGAAAGAGGAUCCUGGAAAAACAUGGCUUGGUGCAGGAGCCAGCACACCGAAGGCAAGACAGCAGCAGACACUUGAAUGGAGACUCUUCGUGUUUACAGCCUGGUCACAGGAGUGACUGAGACCUGAAAUYUCCCUGACAUCCUCUCUGGAUGCUUGGCCUUGGAACAGCCUCAGUGAGGCCACACCUGCUCUCUUCUACUCGUGGAGCCACAGAGGACACUGGAAAAGCCCAUGAAAUUGGCUGGAGAAGGAGGGAGGCUUCUGAGCAAAUGAUCUCUAAACGAGGCCCUUCCCYGUGCCUUUUCUGGGGUUCAUUAAUAUCAAUGGUAUGUGCUUAUAUCUCAGUUUUCCAAGAUUCAUUCAAAAUCUACAGUGACAUGCCUCGGAGCUUUUCAAUUAUGUCACCAGGCUUUGGCUAAGGCCCUUGCAUUUUUAAUAAAUAUUACAUAUUUUCAA
Molecule: long non-coding RNA, 1041 nt
Organism: Malurus melanocephalus (red-backed fairy wren)
Lineage: Eukaryota; Metazoa; Chordata; Aves; Passeriformes; Maluridae
Exons: 7
Source: RefSeq, a predicted model, not a curated record